RNAcentral lists this long non-coding RNA (461 nucleotides) under Rattus norvegicus (Norway rat). Its description in RNAcentral is "long non-coding RNA NONRATT004957". Lineage: Eukaryota; Metazoa; Chordata; Mammalia; Rodentia; Muridae. The record is from RNAcentral.
GGAUUAGAGAAGAGCAGCGGUUCAGGGGUCCUGAAGGAAGGCCUGAGGCAAAGGAGGGAGCUGAAGAGGGGGUCCCAGCUUCAAGCUAUCAGGAAAACUACAUCUCAACGGUGAAAGUAUGCUGGGGAAGGAAGGCUGCAGCGACAGGAGUUGAAUGAUGGUGACAUAACCGACAGAUUCUCACAAGGUCCGAGUGUCACUUCCAAGACGGACAUCCACGGUUUAAUCACCAAGUGCUGCCUGCCUGCCUGGUCUUCCCAAGCCUCCCAGCUGUUUCCCUUUCCAUUCCCGUGAGUGAGUGCUGCUUCAGGCGAGGCUCUGCACACCACACAACUAGAGACCAGCAGCCACCGGUCUCCCAGGCAUUCAGCAGUCCUUUCCAGUGAUCUUGUCACACAGGAAAACGUGACAGUUACCCUAAGGGGCUCAGAUGACUUCCCAUUAAAAUCAUUUGUUCGGUC